This is a non-coding RNA of Notechis scutatus (mainland tiger snake), 164 nucleotides long. Lineage: Eukaryota; Metazoa; Chordata; Lepidosauria; Squamata; Elapidae. The record is from RefSeq and is a predicted model, not a curated record.
CACACACACACACACACACACACACACACACGUAUUCAUCCACGUGUAGUGUCCAUCAGCAAGCAGCAUGUAUUGAGGGCAAGUUCCAAAUCUGAACUUUAUUAGCCUUGGCAUCUGGUUUUGUAAUCUUUGCAAAAGGGGAGGGAGAAGGUUUCCCCGUUUUU